UGGGGAAUUUUGGACAAUGGGCGAAAGCCUGAUCCAGCAAUGCCGCGUGUGUGAAGAAGGCCUUCGGGUUGUAAAGCACUUUUGUCCGGAAAGAAAUCCUUGGCUCUAAUACAGUCGGGGGAUGACGGUACCGGAAGAAUAAGCACCGGCUAACUACGUGCCAGCAGCCGCGGUAAUACGUAGGGUGCAAGCGUUAAUCGGAAUUACUGGGCGUAAAGCGUGCGCAGGCGGUUUGCUAAGACCGAUGUGAAAUCCCCGGGCUCAACCUGGGAACUGCAUUGGUGACUGGCAGGCUAGAGUAUGGCAGAGGGGGGUAGAAUUCCACGUGUAGCAGUGAAAAUGCGUAGAGAUGUGGAGGAAUACCGAUGGCGAAGGCAGCCCCCUGGGCCAAAUACUGACGCUCAUGCACGAAAGCGUGGGGAGCAAACAGGAUUAGAUACCCUGGUAGUCCACGCCCUAAACGAUGUCAACUAGUUGUUGGGGAUUCAUUUCCUUAGUAACGUAGCUAACGCGUGAAGUUGACCGCCUGGGGAGUACGGUCGCAAGAUUAAAACUCAAAUGAAUUGACGGGGUCAUAGCUGUUUCC
This 586-nucleotide ribosomal RNA is filed under the name uncultured bacterium. Its description in RNAcentral is "partial 16S ribosomal RNA". It matches the Rfam family "Bacterial small subunit ribosomal RNA", at positions 355 to 937 of the family's 1533-position model. The record is from RNAcentral.